This 1776-nucleotide long non-coding RNA is filed under the name Nicotiana benthamiana. RNAcentral describes it as "long non-coding RNA (NBEN_LNC034615)". The record is from RNAcentral. Lineage: Eukaryota; Viridiplantae; Streptophyta; Magnoliopsida; Solanales; Solanaceae.
CAACCUAUUCAAUCUAGGAAUUAAACUCCUAAUCCCUUACUAACUUGUAAUACACCUAUUACAAGCCACUUUACAAUACACCUAUUACAAGACUUCAACUCAUGACUAACUCUAGUCAUGAAACACUAAGGGUUUAUGGUUUUACAAAGGGAUUCCUAAGCAGCGCUUCUAGCUAAGCAAAUUAGGAAUUACAAUGAAGAACAAUUACAAAGUUACAACUCAACUAAGGACAAUAAGAUACUAGAUUUAGGAACUGGUCCGUAGUAGUGUUAUACUUUGUUCUUGAUGCACUUGAGAAUUGAAUGCUCGAAUAUGAGAUAGCUUGAAUGCUUAAAGUGAAUGCUCAAGUGUUCAAGUGAUGUUUUGUUGUAAUACUUUUAUUAAUAAAACUUGGAUGACAUCACUUGAAUUAUGUAAUUACUUGGUUGGUCAAAGGACAAGUGAUUGCAGAACUGCUGCACUGUCUUUAUGUACAGUGCAGGCAGUCACUUUCUAUUUGUACACAGUUAACUUUGUACGGCUGUUAGGAAAACACAAGGGAUCAGAUCCCUAUGUUGGUUCUCUAUCUUCUGAAAUUGUAGCAGUUCACAUUUGCUGGAUUCCGUUGAUUUGCAAUGUGUACCAAGUGUGUCACGUUCUCUAUCUGGUUCUUUGACAAAAAGUUUGUUAGAUCAUCAAAACAUAAAGCUAAGAUAUUGAAAAUCCAUUAGACCCACUUAGGCCCACAUAGGCACCGGACCGGCUCACUUUGCCCGUGACACAUGAUAAUUUAGAUAUAGUAUGUCAAGGAAUAUAUGGGGAGUUAUAGAAGAAGGUUUUUAUGACCAGUCCACUAUAACAUCCUUCCCCAGCCAGGAGCUGCUUAGUACUUGUGAACAAUUUUGCUCUAGAAGUGCCACAACUUGUCAUGCUAUAGCGAUGACAAAACGUUUGAGGAUGAAGAUGAGUUGCUCAAUGGAUUAGGUAUAAUUCCAAAACUCAGAACUUCAACUGCGACGCGUCUCUCUGUUUGUGAUAUUUCACUUGGGAAUAGUAGCUAAUGGCCAUGGGCAAAGCCAUAACCCAAUAAGGGUGGUCAACUGAUCACCUUUCGUCGAAAAAUUACAUAGUGUAUAUAGGAAAAAAUUUAGAUUUUAGAGGUAUAUAACAUAUAUUGAAUACAUUUUAUGGAGAAUAUUUUUCACUUUCAAGCUUGAACACCCUUAAUAAAAUUUCUGACUUUGCCGCUGCCGAUGGCGGUAAGAGUUUGGAAGUUUUGGGUCUUCACAGGGUGAUAUAGGCUUGGCAGACCGGAUUUCAUAACUGUGGGAUCAAUUUCAAAGUGAGAAUGGAGCAGUGCACAAAGCAUCAGCUAAAACAGUGAGCAUCAGCAGCACCCCAAAACAACAACUGAGGAAUCAAAUUUCAGUCACUGCAAAUCAAUCCAACAAAAGAACCAGUAAAAGGGGUAAUAGAAGCAGCUCCACCAAAUUAGCUAGACCAGAACUUCCCACACAACAAAAAUCAAUAAUAGUAAAAGAUAGCAAAAUUGAAAAACAUCACCAGUAAUUGAUAAAUCUGAAGUGACCAAUUAAAGCAGCAUAUAAGCAGCCUAGCUACAAUUGAGGUGACAAAAGCUUCAAACGCUCGAGCCCAAUAACUUGUGUCAGAUAGAAAGAGAACAUGGAAUUGGGUACAUCCGAACGAGAAUAUUAGCUAGGGCACAAGAAUGCUUAAAUAGCCAAAUAGUAGCACCAAUGUAGUAUGCCAAAUUUUGUAGAAACUUCCUCUCUCUCG